CCUACGGGUGGCAGCAGUGAGGAAUAUUGGUCAAUGGACGCAAGUCUGAACCAGCCAUGCCGCGUGCAGGAAGACGGCUCUAUGAGUUUUAAACUGCUUUUGUACGAGGGUAAACGCAGGUACGCGUAUCUGUCUGCACGUAUCGUACGAAUAAGGAUCGGCUAACUCCGUGCCCGCAGCCGCGGUAAUCCGGAGGAUUCAAGCGUUAUCCGGAUUUAUUGGGUUUAAGGGGUGCGUAGUCGGUCGGAUAAGUUAGAGGUGAAAUCCCGAGGCUCAACUUCGGAAUUGCCUCUGAUACUGUGCGGCUAGAGAGUAGUUGCGGUAGGCGGAAUGUAUGGUGUAGCGGUGAAAUGCUUAGAGAUCAUACAGAACACCGAUUGCGAAGGCAGCUUACCAAGCUACGUCUGACGUUGAGGCACGAAAGCGUGGGGAGCAAACAGGAUUAGAUACCCCUGUAGUC
RNAcentral lists this ribosomal RNA (460 nucleotides) under uncultured bacterium. Its description in RNAcentral is "partial 16S ribosomal RNA". It matches the Rfam family "Bacterial small subunit ribosomal RNA", at positions 338 to 795 of the family's 1533-position model. The record is from RNAcentral.